AGUGAACGCUGGCGGUAGGCCUAACACAUGCAAGUCGAACGGCAGCACAGUAAGAGCUUGCUCUUACGGGUGGCGAGUGGCGGACGGGUGAGGAAUACAUCGGAAUCUACUUUUUCGUGGGGGAUAACGUAGGGAAACUUACGCUAAUACCGCAUACGACCUACGGGUGAAAGCAGGGGAUCUUCGGACCUUGCGCGAAUGAAUGAGCCGAUGUCGGAUUAGCUAGUUGGCGGGGUAAAGGCCCACCAAGGCGACGAUCCGUAGCUGGUCUGAGAGGAUGAUCAGCCACACUGGAACUGAGACACGGUCCAGACUCCUACGGGAGGCAGCAGUGGGGAAUAUUGGACAAUGGGCGCAAGCCUGAUCCAGCCAUACCGCGUGGGUGAAGAAGGCCUUCGGGUUGUAAAGCCCUUUUGUUGGGAAAGAAAAGCAGCAGGUUAAUACCCCGCUGUUCUGACGGUACCCAAGGAAUAAGCACCGGCUAACUUCGUG
Molecule: ribosomal RNA, 492 nt
Filed under: uncultured bacterium
Lineage: Bacteria
Description: partial 16S ribosomal RNA
Rfam family: Bacterial small subunit ribosomal RNA
Source: RNAcentral